This 405-nucleotide ribosomal RNA is filed under the name Triticum aestivum (bread wheat). Its description in RNAcentral is "partial small subunit ribosomal RNA". Lineage: Eukaryota; Viridiplantae; Streptophyta; Magnoliopsida; Poales; Poaceae. The record is from RNAcentral.
AUGGUGCAACCACAACAAGGCCAUGAACAGGAACUGGAAGAGGAAAAUCAGCAAAUCAGACCAGACACGGAGUCAGCCCUUGUUUUGACCACAAAAUCAGAUCAGGUAAGCAAGGAAAACCAAAAGGAAAACAAACCAUAUGGACGCCCUCUUCCUCAGCAUGGACCACCUCAUCGAGACACCUGGCUCAACUCCUUGCCGCUGCCAUCUCUAGGGUUGGUGGUAGGAGAAAUAGGAGGACAAUGUGUGCCGCCCCGGUUCUUGAUCUCCAUCGCCUUUGCUGAAUCGAGGGAUGGAGGAGGUGCAGGACGGUGGCACGAGGAGAGAACAGGAGGACCAACCGGCGACCAGCGGCCAGUCCUCUAUGUGCGGGCGCCAGGGAGCAUGCCCUGGGCUAGAUCUUGA